GUCUACGGCCAUACCACCCUGAACACGCCCGAUCUCGUCUGAUCUCGGAAGCUAAGCAGGGUCGGGCCUGGUUAGUACUUGGAUGGGACACAACAUGUGUCCUCCUUAAUACUCAUCACUGGAUU
This 125-nucleotide ribosomal RNA is filed under the name Neogale vison (American mink). The record is from RNAcentral. Lineage: Eukaryota; Metazoa; Chordata; Mammalia; Carnivora; Mustelidae.